UUAAAUAUGGGAUAAAAUAAAUAUUCAUUAAGAUCAAAGAUGUUCAUACAAUUCCAAGAGCAGAAAUAAAAUGAUACAAUAACCGUUGUGGUCCUUGUUAGGGCUUCAUCCUGCCCUAGUGAAGAGAUCAGCCCUCCAUGUAGAAGUGGACGAUAGCAGCACAGCAGGAUGAAGACAGCAUGACUGACUUCUUUCGAGGGAGGUGGCGGCGGGAAAGAAGAGAAGAAUACGUCGUGAUCAUGGAAGAAGCUCCGGCUAAUCUCCCCCAUAACAUUUCAUUUUUUUUCUUUCCGUGGGAAGUUCUUCCCAUAAUACCCAAAAUAAUCUCUCUCCUUUUAUUCUUGUGGGAACUCAACCUGAGAAGAGCUGCCAUGGGAUCCGUCUCCUCCUCCUUUUAUAGCCUUCACCAGCCCUCUCUCCUCCCCUGUUCCGAGUGCAGAUAAGGAUGAUCAGCUACGGGAUAAGGCAGAUGAGUCUGCUCCUUGAUCCUUGGACGCGGUGGGUAUCAUGCGGAUGAAGAUUUGAGUCUAUCGUGGCUGCUGAAGCAGGGGAUGAUAGAUCACAAUGGGAUGAAGGUGGGUCACGAAAAAUCUUUGGGAAGUUUGAGAAUCCUUGGACGAUGGGAUAAGGAUGGAGGCUGAACAGGGGAGUUGGAACGGCUGGGAUUUGAAGCUUAUCUGGAAGCUGAUCCUAUGAACGGAAGAAAGCUUGGGUUGUAUUUGGAUUUGGUUCAUGGGAUUAUGGCUGAGAUUGCUUUAUUCCGAUGCAGGGGAUGAAGGUGCAAGCUGAGAAGAUCUCGGACACUGAGAUUUGAGGUUGGGAAUGGAUGGAACGCAUUGUGAACGCGAUGUGAACGCAGUGGAUGAGCUUGGGACCAAUUUGUUUGGGAUGCUCACGGGAUGAAGAUGAAUCGCGGAUGUAGGGGAAAUCUAGGAAUGAUUUGGUUUGAGGUUUUUAUUCAGCUUGGAACAGGCCAACGGCUCUGUUCUUUGGACGUGGAGGUUUGGUUUUGGCUGGGAGGAGUGGAUGAUGCCGCUGGGAUCAAACACGGAUGGCCAGCCAUGGGAUCUAUGGAGGCUGAUCGCGAAUGGGACGAAGGCUGGCUUGAUCCGUGAUGAAGAUAAGAUGAGCUGGGAGUUUUCCAUGAAUCGCGGACGCUGGGAAGCAAUUUGGGAUUUGGUUGACGGCUUUGGGAUAAGGAUGAUAGGAAAUCUGGAAGGCUUAUCUUGACUGGGAUCUAGCAGAAGAAGAGGAAUACGUGGGAGAUUCUAUUUUUUUGGAUUCGACUGGGAGAAGUGGUUUGGGAUGUUCAUCCGAUUGGGAACAGGGGAUGCUGGGAUUUGUUCCAAAGAAGGGAUAAGGAUGCAAGCGGCUGGAUGGAGCUGAUGGGUAUGCGGAGGGAGAAGAGGAUCCGCGGAUGAUGGAAUGCUGGGAUUUGGGUUCAUUCCAUGGAUCAUGGGACUCUGUUUUGAAGCUAAAAGAGGGGAGGUAAAGGAUGACGUGGAAGAUGAACACGGGCGUGAGGGGAAUGUCGGAAGAGUUGGAAAAUGGCUUUGUUUUGAAACUGGGAAGCUUGAUAUAUGGACACGGGAUGGAUUUCGUGGUAGAAGCUCACGGCUAGGGACUCGGAAGGAUGAGAUGAUGUGAAUUUAAUUUGGCUGGGUUGGUUCGGAAGAGGGAAGACACUGGAUUUAAGGGGACUUGGAAUUCAGAAGAGAUGAAUUUGGGUCGGCUAGGAGAUAAUCCGGAAAGAUGUUGUAAUGUGGGAUAAUGAAACGGAUCNN
Molecule: long non-coding RNA, 1784 nt
Filed under: Phoenix dactylifera (date palm)
Lineage: Eukaryota; Viridiplantae; Streptophyta; Magnoliopsida; Arecales; Arecaceae
Description: long non-coding RNA (PDAC_LNC009308)
Source: RNAcentral